Molecule: ribosomal RNA, 160 nt
Filed under: uncultured bacterium
Lineage: Bacteria
Description: partial 16S rRNA
Rfam family: Bacterial small subunit ribosomal RNA
Source: RNAcentral
UGGGGAAUAUUGGACAAUGGGCGAAAGCCUGAUCCAGCCAUGCCGCGUGUGUGAAGAAGGUCUUCGGAUUGUAAAGCACUUUAAGUUGGGAGGAAGGGCAGUUACCUAAUACGUGAUUGUUUUGACGUUACCGACAGAAUAAGCACCGGCUAACUCUGCG